This is an RNA transcript of Nilaparvata lugens (brown planthopper), 432 nucleotides long. It is a transcript of the gene named dolichyl-diphosphooligosaccharide--protein glycosyltransferase subunit 4, with no coding region annotated. Lineage: Eukaryota; Metazoa; Arthropoda; Insecta; Hemiptera; Delphacidae. The record is from RefSeq and is a predicted model, not a curated record. The transcript is spliced from 3 exons.
UUGUAUACUGUGUCAUUGAUUUCGAUCCUCAUAUAUCUACGUCUACAAGUUGGCUGUUUUGUUUUCUGUUUAGGUUAUAUAGAAUUAAAAGGUAAUUCCGUCAAUAAUUCUUUAUUCUUAUUAAAAAUCACCGUUUCAGUUCCUCUGUGCUUCUCAACAUAAAAAAUAUAGGAUGAUAUCUGACGUCCAACUCGCUGUGUUCGCCAACUUUCUUGGAGUGUCUCUGUUCCUCCUAGUUGUGCUCUACCAUUACAUAGCUGCUAAUUAUUCAAAGUCAUAAUGCCAAUCAAUCCUUCAUUCCAUAAUUAAAAUGGCUGUCAUCAUUAAAGACGGGCGCUGCCUGUUCAAACAUAAUUCUUUUCUCCAUUUUUCUACUCAAUUUGUGUCUAAUCAUGUUAAAUUAAAAUUAUGAAUACAUAUUGGGAAACUUAA